This is a long non-coding RNA of Panonychus citri (citrus red mite), 810 nucleotides long. RefSeq lists it as uncharacterized. NCBI's taxonomy places the organism in Eukaryota, Metazoa, Arthropoda, Arachnida, Trombidiformes, Tetranychidae. The transcript has 2 exons. The record is from RefSeq and is a predicted model, not a curated record.
UAAUAUCAAUAUGAACUCGACCAUCUUUCUUGGGGAUGAAAUUCAACGGAGUUACUUCAGACCAAACUUGAAAAGCUCGAGCAAUUUCGGUAUCAAUUUGACUUUUCUUCACUUUUCUUGGAUACUUGGAGAUUCGAUAUAAUCUUCAAAGCUAAUCAAUCAGCACAAUGGCAAUUUAAAUCCACUGGUAACCAGAAAUUCAUUGCAAACUCAACAGAUUCAAUAUUCAUUGGUGACAAUUAAUCAAUGACAAUCAAACUUAUAUGUUAUCACAAGGAAUCAUCAGAUCAUCAGAAAAUAUUUGAUAUGAAAGAUUUAAAUUGUCUAUCAUGUCACGAUUACUUGAAUUGCUGAUUCUUUAAUUCAAUUACCCUCAACACUGUAAUAUUAAUGGGGAAACGAGAGGAUUGAUCACUUUAUAUAAUUUCAUCAUCAUUAAGAUAUCAAUUAUGGCAAUCAAACAGGCAAUGGCUUCUUAAUCACAAUCAUUAAGUUUCAAUCAAUCCUGGAUCAUCAUUACAAUGAACAAUUUACUCAAUGUUUCUGGUUGAUGAACUUUUCGUUUAAUAUCUGAUAUAAUUUCACUACUAGUUUAAUAUCUUUGAACAAUCAAUCAGGAUUUUAAUUUGUCAAAUUGUCUUUGUUCAAAUUAAUCAUGAUUACUAAUCAGAUUUUGAUCAUUGAUUCCUGUUCAUGUAAUAAUGAAUCUCUUUGGUUAAUGAUUGACAACUAUUGAUGUAUCAUCAUCUUUAUAUUAACUGUUAUCUGAAUGAUUAAAUUAAAAUUUACUGCUAAUCAUGUAAUCAAUAA